GUCUUCAACAUGAAAAGUAAAUUACAAUCUGUCGGUUAGAUUUCAGAGGAACGAAUUAUUUCAUUUUUCUCGACACAAACUUCAUGAAGUUCAGGACCUGGAAAAACUUGGCAGAAACUGAACCCAGAGCUGAAAUAAACGGAGCCAAAAACGAAAGAGGAGAGACGGAAAGAGGGAGAGACCUCUGUCAUGGGAACAACGAAUGCCGAGUAAUCACACAGUGAAUCAAUUUAGGAAAACAUGACAACGCUGUCAGCAGUGCUAACAGCCUCGCAGCUUUCUAAGUAGACCCAGAUGACACUUAGCCAGAAUAAAGCUAAGAGUCUGUUUUCUCCCCAACCCUUUCAUGAGAAACAUCAAGAGCAAAGCGGCAGCAGGAAAGCAGACAUAACAACUCUGCGAGAUGGAGAAGAUGUGUGAUAAUCAUAGGACUCCCUCUGAACAACUGUCUUCAAACGGCUCAGUUGUCAUGGGAAUCCAGAGAG
Molecule: non-coding RNA, 485 nt
Organism: Poecilia reticulata (guppy)
Lineage: Eukaryota; Metazoa; Chordata; Actinopteri; Cyprinodontiformes; Poeciliidae
Source: RefSeq, a predicted model, not a curated record